CUGUCAUGAGGGGCGUGGCUUCACUCCACCCCAGCUCCCAUAUCAUGAGGUGCUGCCUCACUACGGUCCAAAAGUAGUCAGCCAGCCGUGAGAGAAACCUCUAGACCCAUGAGUAAAAGAAGCCUCUUCUGCGUUCUGCUACCGAAACUGCAGUGAAACUUGUGUGUCCUUACCUGGAAUGCCAGGAGGGCCUGGAGGUCCAGGGGGGCCUUGGUAACCACGGAAGCCAUAAUCUCCAUGACAACACUUGCUGCAGUCUGGGGGCAGUCCUCCCGCUUGUGGAGACUUAAAAACAACGAGGAAAGAAACUUCAGAGGAAUGGUACUGAAAGCUUCCAAGAUGCUAAUGGGUCUGAAUCUCCUGAGUGAGUCUUCACCUGAAGAUGCUUCAGAAAUUUAAAGCUAGAAGACUAGAAAAUGGAAUGGAGCAGAACCUGAAAUGGGAUUUCAGCAGCCUGGCUGGUGUUGGUUACCAGGAAAUAAUCAAAGACGAUCUAUAGCACCCCCACUGGACAACCAAGAAAGACACAGUCCAGAAAGCUGGAAAGCCCAGAUCAAGGAUUGGACACAAGUUAAAUGACUUCACCACUAAAGCAAACAUCCUUAGACAGAAGACAGUCUCUGAAAGAAACAUUUCUUUUACAUCUGCCCUGGACAAAAGCCCCAUGGAGCGACUUGAAAACUGCACCUUGAGGUUCAGUUACAUGUCUCAGGCUUACCCCUGUUGCGAUGAGUCUGUGUGGGAUCCUAGUCUGACCACAGGGCCAGAUAAUCAACUGAGACUUCUCAGUCUACGUACAAGGGUGAGGAAUGAAGUUAGAUGGCAACUAUGUGAAGAGAAGUUCCAGAGACUCUAAAAAGCGUGCAGCCAAUGGGUUCUUGUGGUAAUCUGCACUGCUUCAAAGAUGAUGUAUUCAAAGAAAUCCUUCUCCCCAUUCCAUUUCAUGUCAGCAUUUUUCAUGCUUGAGCACUAAGCACAAAUAAGUUUCUUCCUCCUGUUUUUGCUGCUUUUCAUUAAAUUGAAGUUUGCUCAUUUGCAAUUUACUACACCAAAACCUUUACUUGUUCUAUGUUACCCAAGAGAGUUAAAGGAGUGUCCUCAGAUGCUGAGCUUAUGCCCCAACGAAUAAAUCAAGUUCUGUCAUCAGGAAA
Meriones unguiculatus (Mongolian gerbil) is the source of this 1151-nucleotide long non-coding RNA. RefSeq lists it as uncharacterized. The record is from RefSeq and is a predicted model, not a curated record. The transcript has 3 exons. Lineage: Eukaryota; Metazoa; Chordata; Mammalia; Rodentia; Muridae.